AAGCUUGCUUGUUGGGGUUGUAGGACACUCUAUACGGAGUUACAAAGGACGACAUUAGACGAAUCAUCUGGAAAGAUGAAUCAAAGAAGGUAAUAAUCCUGUAGUCGAAAAUGUUGUCUCUCUUGAGUGGAUCCUGAGUACGACGGAGCACGUGAAAUUCCGUCGGAAUCUGGGAGGACCAUCUCCUAAGGCUAAAUACUCUCUAGUGACCGAUAGUGAACCAGUACCGUGAGGGAAAGGUGAAAAGCACCCCGGAAGGGGAGUGAAAUAGAACCUGAAACCGUGUGCUUACAAGUAGUCAGAGCCCGUUAAUGGGUGAUGGCGUGCCUUUUGUAGAAUGAACCGGCGAGUUACGAUUUGAUGCAAGGUUAAGCAGUAAAUGUGGAGCCGUAGCGAAAGCGAGUCUGAAUAGGGCGUUUAGUAUUUGGUCGUAGACCCGAAACCAGGUGAUCUACCCUUGGUCAGGUUGAAGUUCAGGUAACACUGAAUGGAGGACCGAACCGACUUACGUUGAAAAGUGAGCGGAUGAACUGAGGGUAGCGGAGAAAUUCCAAUCGAACCUGGAGAUAGCUGGUUCUCUCCGAAAUAGCUUUAGGGCUAGCCUCAAGUGAUGAUUAUUGGAGGUAGAGCACUGUUUGGACGAGGGGCCCCUCUCGGGUUACCGAAUUCAGACAAACUCCGAAUGCCAAUUAAUUUAACUUGGGAGUCAGAACAUGGGUGAUAAGGUCCGUGUUCGAAAGGGAAACAGCCCAGACCACCAGCUAAGGUCCCAAAAUAUAUGUUAAGUGGAAAAGGAUGUGGCGUUGCCCAGACAACUAGGAUGUUGGCUUAGAAGCAGCCAUCAUUUAAAG
RNAcentral lists this ribosomal RNA (851 nucleotides) under Staphylococcus aureus. RNAcentral describes it as "partial 23S ribosomal RNA". It matches the Rfam family "Bacterial large subunit ribosomal RNA", at positions 280 to 1128 of the family's 2925-position model. The record is from RNAcentral. Lineage: Bacteria; Bacillati; Bacillota; Bacilli; Caryophanales; Staphylococcaceae.